Oncorhynchus tshawytscha (Chinook salmon) is the source of this 432-nucleotide long non-coding RNA. NCBI's taxonomy places the organism in Eukaryota, Metazoa, Chordata, Actinopteri, Salmoniformes, Salmonidae. The record is from Ensembl.
CCAUGUGGUUUAAGUGGCCUGGUGGCCUGCAUAGACACUAGAUCCAUAUGCUACUACCUGGUUGUCAGGGAGGUGUGGGUGUGAGGUUGGUUGUCACGGGAGGUGCGGUGUGAUGCUGGUUUUCCGGGGUGUUGCGGGUGUGAGGCUGGUUGUCAGGGGAGGUGCGGGUGUGAGGCUAGUUGUCAGGAGAGGUGCGGUGUGAGGCAAGUUGUCAGGGGAGGUGCGGUGUGAGGCUGGUUAUCAGGAGAGGUGCGGUGUGAGGCUAGUUAUCAGGAGAGGUGUGGGUGUGAGGCUGGUUGUCAGGAGAGGUGCAGUGUGAGGCUAGUUGUCAGGAGAGGUGCGGUGUGAGACUAGUUGUCAGGAGAGGUGCGGUGUGAGACUAGUUGUCAGGAGAAGUGUAGAUGUGAGGCUGGUUGUCAGGAGAGGUGCGGU